Molecule: ribosomal RNA, 223 nt
Filed under: uncultured bacterium
Lineage: Bacteria
Description: partial 16S ribosomal RNA
Rfam family: Bacterial small subunit ribosomal RNA
Source: RNAcentral
ACGCUCGACACCUACUGAGGCAGCAGUAGGGAAUCUUCCACAAUGGGCGCAAGCCUGAUGGAGCAACACCGCGUGAGUGAAGAAGGGUUUCGGCUCGUAAAGCUCUGUUGUUGGAGAAGAACGUGCGUGAGAGUAACUGUUCACGCAGUGACGGUAUCCAACCAGAAAGUCACGGCUAACUACGUCGCCAACAGCCGCGGUAAUCUGAGCGGGCUGGCAAGGC